This 345-nucleotide ribosomal RNA is filed under the name uncultured fungus. RNAcentral describes it as "partial large subunit ribosomal RNA". It matches the Rfam family "Eukaryotic small subunit ribosomal RNA", at positions 20 to 371 of the family's 1831-position model. The record is from RNAcentral. Lineage: Eukaryota; Fungi.
GUAGUCAUAUGCUUGUCUCAAAGAUUAAGCCAUGCAUGUCUAAGUAUACGCAAAUUAUACUGUGAAACUGCGAAUGGCUCAUUAAAUCAGUUAUAGUUUAUUUGAUGUUUCUUGCUACAUGGAUAACUGUGGUAAUUCUAGAGCUAAUACAUGCGUAAAAAGCCCCGACUUCUGGAAGGGGUGUAUUUAUUAGAUAAAAACCAUCCUCCUCGGAGUUUGGUGAUUCAUAAUAACUUCUCGAAUCGCACGGCCUUGUGCUGGCGAUGCUUCAUUCAAAUAUCUGCCCUAUCAACUGUCGAUGGUAGGAUAGAGGCCUACCAUGGUUGCAACGGGUAACGGGGAAUA